UACGGAGGGUGCAAGCGUUGUUCGGAAUUACUGGGCGUAAAGGGCGCGUAGGCGGUGGUGUAAGUCAGAUGUGAAAUCCCGAGGCUCAACCUCGGAACUGCAUCUGAUACUGCAUGACUCGAGUGCAGCAGAGGGAAACGGAAUUCCUGGUGUAGAGGUGAAAUUCGUAGAUAUCAGGAGGAACACCGGUGGCGAAGGCGGUUUCCUGGGCUGACACUGACGCUGAGGCGCGAAAGCGUGGGUAGCAAAC
RNAcentral lists this ribosomal RNA (250 nucleotides) under uncultured bacterium. RNAcentral describes it as "partial 16S ribosomal RNA". It matches the Rfam family "Bacterial small subunit ribosomal RNA", at positions 524 to 773 of the family's 1533-position model. The record is from RNAcentral.